AUUUUAGUGUACGUUGCAUAUGAAAUUUUGAUUUUCAAGGGUUAGUUAAAUUCUUUAAAAUAUAA
RNAcentral lists this transfer RNA (65 nucleotides) under Tuxedo bicinctus. RNAcentral describes it as "tRNA-Gln". Lineage: Eukaryota; Metazoa; Arthropoda; Insecta; Hemiptera; Miridae. The record is from RNAcentral.